RNAcentral lists this ribosomal RNA (253 nucleotides) under uncultured bacterium. RNAcentral describes it as "partial 16S ribosomal RNA". It matches the Rfam family "Bacterial small subunit ribosomal RNA", at positions 524 to 776 of the family's 1533-position model. The record is from RNAcentral.
UACGGAGGGUGCGAGCGUUGUCCGGAAUCACUGGGCGUAAAGCGCGUGUAGGCGGCCCGGUAAGUCCGCUGUGAAAGUCGGGGGCUCAACCCUCGAAUGCCGGUGGAUACUGUCGGGCUAGAGUGCGGAAGAGGCGAGUGGAAUUCCUGGUGUAGCGGUGAAAUGCGCAGAUAUCAGGAGGAACACCAAUUGCGAAGGCAGCUCGCUGGGACGUGACUGACGCUGAGACGCGAAAGCGUGGGGAGCAAACAGG